RNAcentral lists this ribosomal RNA (265 nucleotides) under uncultured archaeon. Its description in RNAcentral is "partial 16S ribosomal RNA". It matches the Rfam family "Archaeal small subunit ribosomal RNA", at positions 717 to 982 of the family's 1478-position model. The record is from RNAcentral.
ACACGACUACAUUAGAUACCCGCGUAGUCCUAGCCGUAAACGAUACUCGCUAGGUGUCGGCCACGGUGCGACCGUUGUCGGUGCCGUAGGGAAGCCGUGAAGCGAGCCACCUGGGAAGUACGGCCGCAAGGCUGAAACGUAAAGGAAUUGGCGGGGGAGCACAACAACGGGUGGAGCUUGCGGUUUAAUUGGAUUCAACGCCGGAAAUCUUACCGGGACCGACAGCAACAUGAAGGCCAAGCUGAAGACUUUGCCGGAUUAGCUG